CGGCUAAGAAAGGACAAGACAAAGUCAACGGGAGUUAGCUCGAAAAUUACGGUUAAGUAAAGAUAGUACGUUGAAUCAGCAUCCCAGGAUGAUCCCGAAUUCAUUAAGGUUUCUUGGACUCGACUUUUUGCGUAUUCGGGACCGUCAUCGAAGUCAU
Long non-coding RNA from Gossypium arboreum, 157 nucleotides. RefSeq lists it as uncharacterized. Lineage: Eukaryota; Viridiplantae; Streptophyta; Magnoliopsida; Malvales; Malvaceae. The transcript has 3 exons. The record is from RefSeq and is a predicted model, not a curated record.